RNAcentral lists this ribosomal RNA (465 nucleotides) under Vreelandella stevensii. RNAcentral's name for it is "partial 16S ribosomal RNA". It matches the Rfam family "Bacterial small subunit ribosomal RNA", at positions 338 to 795 of the family's 1533-position model. Lineage: Bacteria; Pseudomonadati; Pseudomonadota; Gammaproteobacteria; Oceanospirillales; Halomonadaceae. The record is from RNAcentral.
CCUACGGGGGGCUGCAGUGGGGAAUAUUGGUCAAUGGGGGCAACCCUGAUCCAGCCAUGCCGCGUGUGUGAAGAAGGCCCUCGGGUUGUAAAGCACUUUCAGUGAGGAAGAACGCCUGGUGGUUAAUACCCAUCAGGAAAGACAUCACUCACAGAAGAAGCACCGGCUAACUCCGUGCCAGCAGCCGCGGUAAUACGGAGGGUGCGAGCGUUAAUCGGAAUUACUGGGCGUAAAGCGCGCGUAGGUGGCUUGAUAAGCCGGUUGUGAAAGCCCCGGGCUCAACCUGGGAACGGCAUCCGGAACUGUCAAGCUAGAGUGCAGGAGAGGAAGGUAGAAUUCCCGGUGUAGCGGUGAAAUGCGUAGAGAUCGGGAGGAAUACCAGUGGCGAAGGCGGCCUUCUGGACUGACACUGACACUGAGGUGCGAAAGCGUGGGUAGCAAACAGGAUUAGAUACCCUGGUAGUC